UACGUAGGGACCAAGCGUUGUUCGGAUUUACUGGGCGUAAAGGGCGCGUAGGCGGCGUGUUAAGUCAGCUGUGAAAUCUCCAAGCUUAACUUGGAACGGUCAGCUGAUACUGAUGUGCUAGAGUGCAGAAGGGGCAACCGGAAUUCUUGGUGUAGCGGCGAAAUGCGUAGAUAUCCGGAGGAACACCAGUGGCGAAGGCGGCUUCCUGGCCUGUUCUUGACGCUGAGGCGCGAAAGCUAGGGGAGCAAACGGG
This 253-nucleotide ribosomal RNA is filed under the name uncultured bacterium. Its description in RNAcentral is "partial 16S ribosomal RNA". It matches the Rfam family "Bacterial small subunit ribosomal RNA", at positions 524 to 776 of the family's 1533-position model. The record is from RNAcentral.